This 521-nucleotide ribosomal RNA is filed under the name uncultured Pleosporales. RNAcentral describes it as "eukaryotic LSU rRNA". The stretch from base 156 to 309 matches the Rfam family "5.8S ribosomal RNA". Lineage: Eukaryota; Fungi; Ascomycota; Dothideomycetes; Pleosporales. The record is from RNAcentral.
GGAGGAUCAUUAUCGUAGGGCUUCGGCCCUGUCGAGAUAGAACCCUUGCCUUUUUGAGUACCUUUCGUUUCCUCGGCAGGCUCGCCUGCCAAUGGGGACCACAAAAAACACUUUGCAGUACCUGUGACAGUCUGAACAAACAAUACAAAAAUUAAAACUUUCAACAACGGAUCUCUUGGUUCUGGCAUCGAUGAAGAACGCAGCGAAAUGCGAUAAGUAGUGUGAAUUGCAGAAUUCAGUGAAUCAUCGAAUCUUUGAACGCACAUUGCGCCCUUUGGUAUUCCUUAGGGCAUGCCUGUUCGAGCGUCAUUUAAACCUUCAAGCUAAGCUUGGUGUUGGGUGACUGUCCGCUUCACUGCGGACUCGCCUCAAAAUUAUUGGCGGCCGGUACAUUGGCUUCGAGCGCAGCAGAAACGCGAACUCGGGCCCGUCGUAUUGGCUCCCAGAAGCUAUCUUCACAAUUUUGACCUCGGAUCAGGUAGGGAUACCCGCUGAACUUAAGCAUAUCAAUAAGCGGAGGA